UCCCUGGUGGGUCCAAUUGUUAAGACUCCUUGCUCCCAAUGCAGGAGUCCUGGGUUCUAUCCCCGGUCAGGGAA
Molecule: transfer RNA, 74 nt
Filed under: Bos taurus (domestic cattle)
Lineage: Eukaryota; Metazoa; Chordata; Mammalia; Artiodactyla; Bovidae
Also listed under: 5 other names
Rfam family: tRNA
About the family: Transfer RNA (tRNA) molecules are approximately 80 nucleotides in length. Their secondary structure includes four short double-helical elements and three loops (D, anti-codon, and T loops).
Source: Rfam by way of RNAcentral